UACGGGGGGGCAAGCGUUACUCGGAAUUAUUGGGCGUAAAGGGCGCGUAGGCGGUCGUGUGCGUCGGAGGUGAAAUCCCCAGGCUUAACCUGGGAACUGCCUCCGAUACGGCAUGGCUUGAGUCCGGGAGAGGGGAGCAGAAUUCCCAGUGUAGCGGUGAAAUGCGUAGAUAUUGGGAGGAAUACCAGUGGCGAAGGCGGCUCCCUGGACCGGUACUGACGCUGAGGCGCGAAAGCGUGGGUAGCAAACAGG
This 252-nucleotide ribosomal RNA is filed under the name uncultured bacterium. Its description in RNAcentral is "partial 16S ribosomal RNA". It matches the Rfam family "Bacterial small subunit ribosomal RNA", at positions 524 to 776 of the family's 1533-position model. The record is from RNAcentral.